RNAcentral lists this ribosomal RNA (253 nucleotides) under uncultured bacterium. Its description in RNAcentral is "partial 16S ribosomal RNA". It matches the Rfam family "Bacterial small subunit ribosomal RNA", at positions 524 to 776 of the family's 1533-position model. The record is from RNAcentral.
UACGGAGGAUCCAAGCGUUAUCCGGAAUCAUUGGGUUUAAAGGGUCCGUAGGCGGUCUAGUAAGUCAGUGGUGAAAGCCCAUCGCUCAACGGUGGAACGGCCAUUGAUACUGCUGGACUUGAAUUAUUGGGAAGCAACUAGAAUAUGUAGUGUAGCGGUGAAAUGCUUAGAGAUUACAUGGAAUACCGAUUGCGAAGGCAGGUUGCUACCAAUUGAUUGACGCUGAUGGACGAAAGCGUGGGUAGCGAACAGG